RNAcentral lists this ribosomal RNA (429 nucleotides) under Chloroflexota bacterium. RNAcentral describes it as "Chloroflexi bacterium partial 16S ribosomal RNA". It matches the Rfam family "Bacterial small subunit ribosomal RNA", at positions 355 to 776 of the family's 1533-position model. The record is from RNAcentral. Lineage: Bacteria; Bacillati; Chloroflexota.
UGGGGAAUAUUGCACAAUGGGCGCAAGCCUGAUGCAGCCAUGCCGCGUGUGUGAAGAAGGCCUUCGGGUUGUAAAGCACUUUCAGCGGGGAGGAAGGCGGUGAGGUUAAUAACCUCAUCGAUUGACGUUACCCGCAGAAGAAGCACCGGCUAACUCCGUGCCAGCAGCCGCGGUAAUACGGAGGGUGCAAGCGUUAAUCGGAAUUACUGGGCGUAAAGCGCACGCAGGCGGUCUGUCAAGUCGGAUGUGAAAUCCCCGGGCUCAACCUGGGAACUGCAUUCGAAACUGGCAGGCUAGAGUCUGGUAGAGGGGGGUAGAAUUCCAGGUGUAGCGGUGAAAUGCGUAGAGAUCUGGAGGAAUACCGGUGGCGAAGGCGGCCCCCUGGACAAAGACUGACGCUCAGGUGCGAAAGCGUGGGGAGCAAACAGG